GUCUCACAGUUUGAGUCCUGGCUCAGACGAACGCUGGCGGCGCGCCUAAUACAUGCAAGUCGAGCGAGAAGACGUAGCAAUACGUUUGUAAAGCGGCGAACGGGUGAGGAAUACAUGGGUAACCUACCUCGAUGGGGGAUAACUAGCCGAAAGGUUAGCUAAUACCGCAUACGGCUCCUGGUCCUGCGGAUCAGGAGAGAAAAGCGAUACCAUGGGUAUCGCGCUCUUGGAUGGGCUCAUGUCCUAUCAGCUUGUUGGUGAGGUAAUGGCUCACCAAGGCUUCGACGGGUAGCUGGUCUGAGAGGACGAUCAGCCACACUGGCACUGCGACACGGGCCAGACUCC
RNAcentral lists this ribosomal RNA (345 nucleotides) under uncultured bacterium. RNAcentral's name for it is "bacterial SSU rRNA". It matches the Rfam family "Bacterial small subunit ribosomal RNA", at positions 1 to 339 of the family's 1533-position model. The record is from RNAcentral.